AAAAUCCGCCAAGCUUAGAUGAGAGGUGAUAACGAGGAAGCUUGCUUCCGAAGUGAGUGAUACCAUGCUUCCAGGAAAAGCCACUAAGCUUCAGCUACACACGACCGUACCGCAAACCGACACUGGUGCGCGAGAUGAGUAUUCUAAGGCGCUUGAGAGAACUCUGGAGAAGGAACUCGGCAAAUUGACACCGUAACUUCGGAAGAAGGUGUGCCCCCGGUAGGUGAAGUCGUACAGACGGAGCCCAAAGGGGUCGCAGAGAAUAGGUGGCUGCGACUGUUUAUUAAAAACACAGCACUCUGCAAAGACGAAAGUCGACGUAUAGGGUGUGACGCCUGCCCGGUGCUGGAAGAUUAAAUGAUGGGGUGCAAGCUCUUGAUUGAAGUCCCAGUAAACGGCGGCCGUAACUAUAACGGUCCUAAGGUAGCGAAAUUCCUUGUCGGGUAAGUUCCGACCUGCACGAAUGGCGUAACGAUGGCCACGCUGUCUCCUCCAGAGACUCAGCGAAGUUGAAAUGUUUGUGAUGAUGCAAUCUCCCCGCGGAAAGACGGAAAGACCCCAUGAACCUUUACUGUAGCUUUACAUUGGACUUUGAACAGGCCUGUGUAGGAUAGGUGGGAGGCUUUGAAGCGGUGCCGCUAGGUGUCGUGGAGCCAACGUUGAAAUACCACCCUGGUGUGUUUGAGGUUCUAACCUUGGCCCGUUAUCCGGGUUGGGGACAGUGUAUGGUGGGCAGUUUGACUGGGGCGGUCUCCUCCCAAAGUGUAACGGAGGAGUUCGAAGGUACGCUAAAUACGGUCGGAAAUCGUGUUGAUAGUGCAUUGGCAUAAGCGUGCUUGACUGCGAGACUGACAAGUCGAGCAGGUACGAAAGUAGGACAAAGUGAUCCGGUGGUUCUGUAUGGAAGGGCCAUCGCUCAACGGAUAAAAGGUACUCUGGGGAUAACAGGCUGAUACCGCCCAAGAGUUCAUAUCGACGGCGGUGUUUGGCACCUCGAUGUCGGCUCAUCUCAUCCUGGGCUGUAGCCGGUCCCAAGGGUAUGGCUGUUCGCCAUUUAAAGAGGUACGUGAGCUGGGUUUAAAACGUCGUGAGACAGUUUGGUCCCUAUCUUCCGUGGGCGCUGCAAGAUUGAGAGAGCCUGCUCCUAGUACGAGAGGACCGGAGUGGACGCACCUCUGGUGUAUCGGUUGUCACGCCAGUGGCAUUGCCGAGUAGCUAAGUGCGGAAGAGAUAACCGCUGAAAGCAUCUAAGCGGGAAACUCGUCUCAAGAUGAGUCUUGCCGGGGCCUUGAGCCCCCUGAAGAGUCGUUCGAGACCAGGACGUUGAUAGGUCGGGUGUGGAAGCGCAGUAAUGCGUUGAGCUAACCGAUACUAAUUGCUCGUGAGGCUUGACCCG
This 1396-nucleotide ribosomal RNA is filed under the name metagenome. RNAcentral's name for it is "bacterial LSU rRNA". It matches the Rfam family "Bacterial large subunit ribosomal RNA", at positions 1537 to 2925 of the family's 2925-position model. The record is from RNAcentral.